Molecule: ribosomal RNA, 780 nt
Filed under: Lactiplantibacillus pentosus
Lineage: Bacteria; Bacillati; Bacillota; Bacilli; Lactobacillales; Lactobacillaceae
Description: bacterial SSU rRNA
Rfam family: Bacterial small subunit ribosomal RNA
Source: RNAcentral
AGUUUGAAUCAUGGCUCAGGACGAACGCNGGCGGCGUGCCUAAUACAUGCAAGUCGAACGAACUCUGGUAUUGAUUGGUGCUUGCAUCAUGAUUUACAUUUGAGUGAGUGGCGAACUGGUGAGUAACACGUGGGAAACCUGCCCAGAAGCGGGGGAUAACACCUGGAAACAGAUGCUAAUACCGCAUAACAACUUGGACCGCAUGGUCCGAGUUUGAAAGAUGGCUUCGGCUAUCACUUUUGGAUGGUCCCGCGGCGUAUUAGCUAGAUGGUGGGGUAACGGCUCACCAUGGCAAUGAUACGUAGCCGACCUGAGAGGGUAAUCGGCCACAUUGGGACUGAGACACGGCCCAAACUCCUACGGGAGGCAGCAGUAGGGAAUCUUCCACAAUGGACGAAAGUCUGAUGGAGCAACGCCGCGUGAGUGAAGAAGGGUUUCGGCUCGUAAAACUCUGUUGUUAAAGAAGAACAUAUCUGAGAGUAACUGUUCAGGUAUUGACGGUAUUUAACCAGAAAGCCACGGCUAACUACGUGCCAGCAGCCGCGGUAAUACGUAGGUGGCAAGCGUUGUCCGGAUUUAUUGGGCGUAAAGCGAGCGCAGGCGGUUUUUUAAGUCUGAUGUGAAAGCCUUCGGCUCAACCGAAGAAGUGCAUCGGAAACUGGGAAACUUGAGUGCAGAAGAGGACAGUGGAACUCCAUGUGUAGCGGUGAAAUGCGUAGAUAUAUGGAAGAACACCAGUGGCGAAGGCGGCUGUCUGGUCUGUAACUGACGCUGNGCUCG